Molecule: non-coding RNA, 106 nt
Organism: Gossypium arboreum
Lineage: Eukaryota; Viridiplantae; Streptophyta; Magnoliopsida; Malvales; Malvaceae
Source: Rfam
AAUUCAUGGUGAGGAUACCUUUGCAGUAGGUCAUUGUAUCUCUCCCAUGCAUCAUGAAGAGCUUCUAAGUCCAUCUGCACAAACGAAGAGAUACCAUUACGUAAUU